RNA transcript from Solanum tuberosum (potato), 2581 nucleotides. RefSeq lists it as uncharacterized. The record is from RefSeq and is a predicted model, not a curated record. The transcript is spliced from 5 exons. NCBI's taxonomy places the organism in Eukaryota, Viridiplantae, Streptophyta, Magnoliopsida, Solanales, Solanaceae.
UUAACAUGGACUAUUGGUUUCCUUUUGGUUUCUGCCGAUUAAACUUGAAAAACUGUUGUGUUCUAUAAAGUAACCAUAAAACCGAUUGUGUAUGGGAGAAAGCUUGAAGCUUUUCAAUAUUAUUGUGGGACUUUUGAUAAAGAUGGAUAAACUUUGGGUUAGAGUGGAUGGUAUAUUUUGAGGCACCAGGAUGUGUUUUAUAGGUUGUAGUUGUCUAAUUUGCACUAAAGAAUGAGCAAGCUAUGGUAUGGGUUCUUGGAUCGCUCGCUAAAGGAACCGAAUAACUAGCAUUGAAUUGGAUUUGAAUUAUAUGGGAAGCAGAUGUUGGUUAGCUGAUAUUUGCCUGUUGUUUUUGUUAAUUAUUAUGCUUCUUUGAUUGACUGAUUUUUCUGAAAAAGAUAUCUGAUAUCGGCUUUAACAAAAUUACAUAUCGGUACAACUUUUGCCAAAUAAGAUGAAAUAACACUAGGAUGAAAUACAUGUGAAGAGAAAAACAUUCCUGCCUGAGCACCUUGUAACUAGAACCUCAACUUUAAUGUGUGUGGGGUGGAGGGGAGGGGGACUUAAAAUAGCCAGUGCUGAUGGUUUUUGAAGAUUAUUCGAUGUCUAGAUUGCUUAAGAGUUUCUAGUAGAAAAUUAGUAUUGAUAUGUAGUGACUUAGAUUUAUUUAGUUAGGUUUUAUUGCUGUGGUUAUGACUAGAAUUGUACCUUAUGAAAGUUAAAGGCUAUGUACUUUGUAUAAAGUGAAAUUAUUCUUAUUAUGUUAUGGUAUGUAUUGCACAAGAUAUAUUGAUAGUAGGUGUGAAUUUUAUUGGUGUUGAACCGAUGAAACUGAUGCUAUAAUCAAGUUUCUCUUCAUAGUCUAAUUCCUGAUUUUUUUUAUGAAAACACAUCAUAAAGGUGAAAUUGUCAUUUAUUCCACCAAUGAUUUAUUCACCGUAAGAUUGAAGUCAGAUGCAUUCUCACAAGCUUCAUCAGCUCAAAUGAUCAACUAUUAGUUUUUCUUACCAAGUCCCUUAGGCUUGGAGGACCUUAAAUUCGCUUGGUGCCUUUGACUUAUAUGCUUUAGGUUGAGGUGCAGUGUUGAAAAUCAUGCUGAAGAUUAUUCUUUGUUGUCUGGAUUGGAUUGCUUUAAAUUGGCACAUGCUUAAUUUGAUCUGUAUUGAUUGAGUUAUUAGGUUUAAAUUGAUUGCUGUGAUUAUACCUUGAUAAUGAUAUGUAAUUAAGCCUACAACAAAGCUAUUGUCUGUGUAAUUAGCAUAAAUCUCAAUAAGCUUGAGGGAAAAAUCAAGUACCUUAGUUGAAUUCUCUCUAGUUCUUUAAUUCUCUCAAAAUCUCUAAUGAUAAUGGGUAAGUAGAACUUAUGAGGUCGCCACACAAAAGACUCAAUCUUGAAUUUUCGUUUCUGUGGAACUGUGGAAGAUGCAGGAAUUUACUCACCAAGAGUUAAAGAGAUAUGGAGACCCAAAGUGAUGUGGGAGAAAAAUGAUAUAAAUGAUUAGGAGGUGCAAUAGAUGUUUACUUUGUUUGCUUAGAGCAAGCGAUUCUUGUGUUUUAGAUGGGAUCCUUUUUUGUAUUUUAGAGCAAGCAUUUCUUUAAAAAAUAAAAAGAGAAGAAGAAGAAAAGAUGGGACCCUUUUUUCAUUUAUUUAUUUUUCCUUACUGAAUGAAAGGUGUAAAUUUUUUCCUGUUGGUAAGGGAUUUUAGCACUCCAUAGUUUUUUAUACUAUCAGUCUACAUAUAAAUGCUUCUCCCUGUCUCUGAUAUUGUCUUCCUCUUUGUAAAUAAGACAACCUUUUGUCUCCCUAGCGCAUGGGCCGGGGCAAUGCAACUAUUAAUGUUUUAUCAAGAAGAUUGCAAAGAAAAAAGGAUUUAAAUACUCCUUAUAAAAGAAUUGACUUAAAACUACAUAGUUCCCUUCCUUUAUUUUUUCUCGUAUUUGAUUAGUCUUUUGCUCCAUUUGUAACUUGUACAAAACGAUUAGGGUGGUUUAUAUAUGGAUGAUAUUUGCAUCACACAAGAUUCAGGCUUGUUGAACUAGAGCUGGGGGAAGUGGGAAUCGGAAGCUUAGGAAUGAGGAAUCUAGCAAGGUGGACAUCGACUAGAGACCAGAUCAGCUGGACUGAAAUUUCAAAACGAUAUUGGUCAGGGGCUGUGGUUUUCUAGGCCGAGAAUACAGCGGAAGGCAAGGUGUGACAAUCAUGAGAUGCAGAAUCUCCAGGCUCUUGCUGUAAAGACCAGCAUUUGAUUUGGAUGAGUUGAAGCUCAUUGAAGCUGACUUGGAGGAAAACAUACUGGGGACUAUUUCCAUUGUGGAUUAUGUGUCCAAGUCUUUCAAAUUAUCUUGAAGCGGUGCACACACUUUUCUUCUUUUGACGUGUGUUGUUCUCCUACUGAUACACUAAUUGGUGGUCUAUGAGACUAUUGGAUCCUUCCAUUUUCAGCUACAAUUAUUCUUUUUAUCUCCUGACUGGGGGAAUCCAUGCCUAAUGGAGGAAUUAAUGGGAGCUUUACCAGUUCACUUGUGUGUCCAACUAUGCGUUACCAUCACAAACAGAAGAGCGGCAUCCAUACAAUACCAG